Molecule: transfer RNA, 67 nt
Filed under: Euproctis seitzi
Lineage: Eukaryota; Metazoa; Arthropoda; Insecta; Lepidoptera; Erebidae
Description: tRNA-Val
Rfam family: tRNA
About the family: Transfer RNA (tRNA) molecules are approximately 80 nucleotides in length. Their secondary structure includes four short double-helical elements and three loops (D, anti-codon, and T loops).
Source: RNAcentral
CAAAUUAAAGCUUAGAAAGUAUUUCAUUUACAUUGAAAAGAUAUUAAAAUAAAUUUAAUUAAUUUGA